UCCCUGUAUGCUACACACAGGAGGUGCGGGCAAGAUGGUCCUGGACAGGGCCCUGGGCUCCCAGGACAAGUGGGCUGAGCCUGGCAGGAGGAUGGGAAGGCACAGGGCGAGUCCAGGAAAGGCCCACCGGCAGCGCCAGGGUGGCUGGAGCCGUGGGGCACGAGGUCAGGAGACAAGCGAGGCCACACCAGCAAGGUCCGAGGGAGAGGCUGACUGUCCGGGAAGGCAGCUCCAGGGGGAGAGGCAAGUCCCGGGGCCUCCGGGGCAGCCCGGUGAUGGGCCGUCAGGGCUGGUCUCUUCUCUCCCGGCCACAGGUUCUCCAUCUCGGGCCCCGGGGAGUGCGUCUUCGUGGAGCCCACCAGGCUGGCGUCGACGGAGUGCCUGAUGACCCGGCCCUGGGUGUGCAGCAAGACGGCCUACACGUGAGGCAACCCAACGCGUCCCUCCUUGGCCCCACGCUGGAACCUUCCCUCCUCUGGAGACGCCGUGAGGAAGGCCGGGGGCUGAUCCAGCCUGAGCUGCUGCCCGCACAGACCCCUGCCUCCUCCGCCACGGGACGGGGAGGGGGGGCAGGAAGGGAAGCCCCCUCCUUGCCUUGCUCUGCCCGGGGUCUCAGGCAGGCCCCUGCUGUGUCCCUGGUGCUGCUGUGUUGGUCCCCAAUGGAAUAAAAAGAUGACUGGCAUCCAGGGAAGUCAGCUGCCAUUUGUUCCAGGGUGGUGGCUUGGGAGAGAGGUGACGACACACUCGUGUGGCAGGCGGCACGUGGAGGCACCAAAGCCGAAAACAGAUUCUGUGGCCUCAGGGCAGCGCUGGCGUGGCCAGACCCUCGAGGGAGUCUCAGACGUCGGGGGGAUGUGUGCCGCCUGCUCCUUCAUUACCAUGCAACGCAGAGCAACAAACAUUUAUUCACACCCGCCACGUGCCAGACGCCACACCAGGCCUGGGGAUCGACAGCCGGGUCCCCCAGGGAAUACACAGGGAGCAGAGGCAACAGCUUGGGAAGCGCCGGAACAUUCUGGAACACAGUC
RNAcentral lists this long non-coding RNA (1028 nucleotides) under Sus scrofa (pig). Its description in RNAcentral is "lncRNA (ENSSSCG00040017912.1)". The record is from RNAcentral. Lineage: Eukaryota; Metazoa; Chordata; Mammalia; Artiodactyla; Suidae.